UUUUGGAAAGGGAAUAGAAAAGAGAAAAGUAAAAUCAAAUUUUGAAAACAAAUCACCCCAGUUGUCUCGUGGUCUAGUGCGUGCAGCGGUGCAAGUGUAUCUCUCCAAAAAGCAUAUAUGACAUUUGAAAAUUGUGUUUUCGAGUUUCGACUAUUCGUAAAUUAUUACCUUUUGAAUUGUGCCAGUGUUUUUAAAUUGUGGUAGUAAAAUCAGUGAAUACAUUUUUACACUGCUCACUUGUAUGUUGGGUGGAGCGUGUAAACAGUCGGGUGAACUGAGUUCAUUAUACCAUGGACGGAGGAUGUACAACUGCAAAUCAAGCUUGAACUUCGCGGACAUCUGUGCUGGGAUCAAUUUUCCUUUUCGGAAUCUCGACUUCCGAAAAUUUUUAUUGAAUUUAAUAAUACCAAGAAACCAAAAGAGAAGUGAAUUGCAGCCUAUUCGGCAUCAUGCAGUUUUAUAAGUAAAUUCCAAUGCUCAUAAUUUGUAUAUCAUGAUGUAAAAAAGGAACUAUAGGCAUACCAUAAAAAAUAUAAUUUAAUAAAUUCAAA
Molecule: long non-coding RNA, 551 nt
Organism: Daphnia pulex (common water flea)
Lineage: Eukaryota; Metazoa; Arthropoda; Branchiopoda; Diplostraca; Daphniidae
Exons: 2
Source: RefSeq, a predicted model, not a curated record